Molecule: ribosomal RNA, 301 nt
Filed under: uncultured bacterium
Lineage: Bacteria
Description: partial 16S ribosomal RNA
Rfam family: Bacterial small subunit ribosomal RNA
Source: RNAcentral
CAGUCGCCGCGGGAAUACGUAGGUGGCAAGCGUUGUCCGGAAUUAUUGGGCGUAAAGCGUGCGUAGGCGGCUUUUUAAGUCGGAUGUGAAAUCCCUGAGCUUAACUUAGGAAUUGCAUUCGAUACUGGGAAGCUAGAGUAUGGGAGAGGAUGGUAGAAUUCCAGGUGUAGCGGUGAAAUGCGUAGAUAUCUGGAGGAAUACCGAUGGCGAAGGCAGCCAUCUGGCCUAAUACUGACGCUGAGGUACGAAAGCAUGGGGAGCAAACAGGAUUAGAUACCCCCGUAGUCCCUGUCUCUUUACA